GAAUUUUAUAUAAAAUUUUUAUUUUAUUUAUCAUUUGUAUAAGAUAUAAAAUUGAAAUUUAUAUUUGAUUGGGAGGAUUAUUAAAUUUUAUAAACUUUAAUAAAAAAUAAAGAACAUUAAUUUAUGAUAUUUUUAUUGAUUAAAAUUUUAUGAUUAAUUUUAUUAUAGAAUUAAUUACCUUAGGGAUAACAGCGUAAUAUUUCUAGAAAGAUCUUAUUGAUAGGGAUGUUUGC
RNAcentral lists this ribosomal RNA (233 nucleotides) under Camponotus rapax. RNAcentral's name for it is "partial large subunit ribosomal RNA". The record is from RNAcentral. Lineage: Eukaryota; Metazoa; Arthropoda; Insecta; Hymenoptera; Formicidae.